GCAGGUGCUCCACCGAGAACUGGCGCCCGAGGUCCCUGCGGGGAGGGCCGGCCAAUCCGUGAUCCUGGGGCACCGAUCUCAGACCGCGGCACGUUGAGCCCCAUCCCAUCGCAGCCCCUCCCUUAAGUCCCUGCUGGGUCGCGUUUCUGUUUUUCUUCCUGGAUCCGCUCGGCAUACCACAUACUGUACAGUCUAUUUCUCCUGCUUAUCAUUUUCUCCCACAGUGAAUUUGUAGAUCCACAAGGGCAUGGAUUUGCCUCCUUACGCUAGUAUCGUCUGUGCCUGAAACAACGCAAGGCGGAGUAAUGCCCAGGGAAUGUGUUGUGGGGCGAAAGAAUGAAUGAAUGCAUGCCAUAAGGAAUAUCAAGUCGGGUAGGGGCUACCAAUUAGCGAGGGCCACUUCAAGAAGGUGACCUUUGAUCUGAAAUCUGCAGGACGAAGAGAGGGAGAACUGAGAUGAGGGUGCCCAGGUAGAGGAUGCAGCAUGUGCAAGGGCCCGGAGGUGGCAGGGUAACUGAGCCGGAAAGCCCUGGAGGAGGACGGGACAGAAAUUUGGCCUGCUUUGGAGGAAAAAACUCCCUAUUUGCCAGAGGGCAGCAGGAUUGGGCAAAUGUCCCAUCUGAUAACAAGGAGCGGGAAGGAAGCGCUCCAUGACCACAGACCUUCCACUUGGGCACCAAAAUGAAUGAAAUUGGUAAAAUGUCAGGAGGUCGGUGACUCACUGUCAAAUGGUUCAUCACCCCCCCCACACACACACACACAGAUCCACAGAUCCACGCACUCACACACAUACAGAAAAAUGCCACAAUUGCUGUGGACUUCAUUAUACACUUCUUUCAAGUUUUUGCUGAGUUGGAUUUUUUUUUUUUUUUUUUAAUGUUGGGGAUGGAACCCAGGAUCUCAUAUGCUAGGUGAUCACUCUGCCCCUGAGCAACACAUUCAGGUCCUGAAUUUUUUUUCUUUCAUGAGAAAAAGAAAGGGCUCCUCCCUAGCACUGCAAAAAAAAAAAAAAAAGUUGGGGUUAAAAAAGAAUGAAAGAGCUGGGCGUAGUGGUGCAUGCCUGUAAUCCCAGCCACUUGGGAGGCUGAGGCUGGAGGAUCACAAGUUCAAGCCCAGUCUCUGCAACUUAGUGAGGCCCUGUGUCCACAUAAAAACUAAAAAGGUCUGGGGAUGUAGCUUAAUGGUAGAGGGAUCCUAGGUUCAAUUCCCAGUACCAAAAAAAUAAAAUAAAAUUAAAAAUGAAAGUACCUCUCAUUGCAGAAAAGGAGCAAGUUCUAAAAUAGCCACUACUGGGGCUCUCCUUGCAAAGCUUGAAUCAGCUCCCUCUCCCGAGUUCUCACACCCUGCAAGGCUCCCAGCCACUGAGGUCUAUCCAUCCUUCAGAGGGCUCUACUCCACCCACCUCUCACCCUGGGAAUGACUCAGCCUCCCUGAACUGAACUGGCUGUCCUUUCUCCUGGCUUUAUGUCUGUGCUGGGCCCUCUGCCUGCAAAGCCUGCUUUUGGGACCGUGCCCACCAUCCUCUUACAUGCCUGGGGAUAUUUUUAAAGAUACUUCCUCCAAUGCAUUCUCUGACUCCUGGAUUUCAGUGAGGUUUCCAUUGCAUUUCCACUUGGGGGCCUCCCUUUGUCCUCCAGAACGCUCCUGCAAUUUGUCAUUUUGUAUCCAUCUGAGUCUUUGUUUCACAUCUGAUUUCCCCACUUCACCCGCCAGCUCCCGGGGUGCGAUGGGAGUGGGAAUGGACACCACUUUCUGUACCCCUAAUUUCUAGGGCACGGAUUGGCACAUGGGGCUGUUCACUCCCCCAGGGAGAAGGGACAAAUCACUAAGCAAAUGCCUCAGUUCUGAUGGUGAUGCCUCCUCCAGGAAGCCCUCCCAGACCUUCCUGUCCCGCCUUACCUCCUCAGAUCAUCCUCGAAGGGCAGGAAGAGCCACUUCUUGGGCAUGUCCUUGAGGAACAGCUCCUGCUGCUCUUCUGUGGGAUCCUGCGACACGUACACCAGGGCCAGCUGGGCCGCCCGCAGCACAUAGAACUCAUCUGUGAGCCUCACAAAGAAGUCCUUGAUGAUGGGCACGAAGGCCUGACACUUGGGACAAGCCGCAGCGCCAAAGAACAGCAGCACCAGACGGUUCUCCAGCCUGCGGCUGACCUCGGCCUCUGUGUCCAGCUCAUCCUGGUCACUGUUAUUGCAGAUCAGAACGCGCCCAGAGAACAGGGAGACCAUGGUAGCCCCAACUGGGUGCUGGGGACAGGGAGAGAGAUCCCCACGUGGUGUGGCCUAGACCUGCUGUCUGGUUCCUCUCCCAGGAAUAGAGAUCUCUAGGAAGCCAGUUUAGGACCUCGCUAAUCUGCUCAAUCUUGACCUAGUUCUGCAGGGCCUCCAAGGGCAGGGGUUGGUGCGGGGAGAGCGCCCUCGUGUGCCUGAAAACACAUUGCAGAAAAACUAAACUGGGGUGUGGGGGUGUAGCUCAGCCGUAGAGCACUUAUCCAGCAUUCUCUGCUCCAAAUUGAGAGAGACGGACUGAGAAAAUGAGAAAGAGAAGAGAAAACCCCGGAGAGAAGACAGCCCAGUGAAGACCAAGGCAGAGACUGGAGUGAUGCGGCCACAAACCAAGGGACCCUGGGAACCACCAACAGCUGGAAGCCAGAAGAACUCCUUGAAGCCUCCAGAGGGCGCUCUGCUGCCGUGACUUCAGACCUCUAGAGCUGCCAGAUAUAAUAAAGGUUUCUGUGCCCCUA
Molecule: long non-coding RNA, 2740 nt
Organism: Marmota monax (woodchuck)
Lineage: Eukaryota; Metazoa; Chordata; Mammalia; Rodentia; Sciuridae
Exons: 2
Source: RefSeq, a predicted model, not a curated record